Molecule: unclassified non-coding RNA, 215 nt
Filed under: uncultured Alnicola
Lineage: Eukaryota; Fungi; Basidiomycota; Agaricomycetes; Agaricales; Cortinariaceae
Description: sequence contains ITS2
Source: RNAcentral
AAUUCUCAACCUUAUUAGCUUUUGCUGAUAAUGGCUUGGAUGUUGGGGGUCUGUUUUGCCGGCUUCUUCAGAAGUCCGCUCCCCUUAAACGCAUUAGCCGGUGCCCCAUGUGGACUGUCUAUUGGUGUGAUAAUUAUCUACGCCGUGGAUGUCUGCAAAUGAUAUGGGUUUUUGUGCUGCUUCUAACUGUCUGUUCAUUCAGACAAUAUAUGACA